ACGAACGCUGGCGGCGUGCUUCACACAUGCAAGUCGAACGAUGAACCGGUUUCGGCCGGGGAUUAGUGGCGAACGGGUGAGUAACACGUGGGCAAUCUGCCCUGCACUCUGGGAUAAGCCCGGGAAACUGGGUCUAAUACCGGAUACGACACUCCGAGGCAUCUUGGGGUGUGGAAAGUUCCGGCGGUGCAGGAUGAGCCCGCGGCCUAUCAGCUUGUUGGUGGGGUAAUGGCCUACCAAGGCGACGACGGGUAGCCGGCCUGAGAGGGUGACCGGCCACACUGGGACUGAGACACGGCCCAGACUCCUACGGGAGGCAGCAGUGGGGAAUAUUGCACAAUGGGCGAAAGCCUGAUGCAGCGACGCCGCGUGAGGGAUGACGGCCUUCGGGUUGUAAACCUCUUUCAGCAGGGAAGAAGCGAAAGUGACGGUACCUGCAGAAGAAGCACCGGCUAACUACGUG
This 463-nucleotide ribosomal RNA is filed under the name uncultured bacterium. Its description in RNAcentral is "partial 16S ribosomal RNA". It matches the Rfam family "Bacterial small subunit ribosomal RNA", at positions 29 to 507 of the family's 1533-position model. The record is from RNAcentral.